AUAAACGCUGGCGGCGUGCUUAACACAUGCAAGUCGAACGGAGUGGUCUCCCGAGGAUUGAUGGUGCUGCACCUGAUUGACUCAUUGAAUCACUUAGUGGCGGACGGGUGAGUAACGCGUGGGAAACCUGCCCUAUACUGGGGGAUAGCAGUUGGAAACGACUGAUAAUACCGCAUAAGCGCACAGGAUCGCAUGGUCUAGUGUGAAAAAACUCCGGUGGUAUAGGAUGGUCCCGCGUCUGAUUAGCUAGUUGGUGAGGUAACGGCCCACCAAGGCGACGAUCAGUAGCCGGCCUGAGAGGGUGUACGGCCACAUUGGGACUGAGACACGGCCCAAACUCCUACGGGAGGCAGCAGUGGGGAAUAUUGGACAAUGGGGGAAACCCUGAUCCAGCGACGCCCGCGUGAACGAUGAAGUAUUUCGGUAUGUAAAGCUCUAUCAGCAGGGAAGAUGAUGACGGUACCUGACUAAGAAGCACCGGCUAAAUACGUGCCAGCCGCUGC
Molecule: ribosomal RNA, 503 nt
Filed under: uncultured bacterium
Lineage: Bacteria
Description: bacterial SSU rRNA
Rfam family: Bacterial small subunit ribosomal RNA
Source: RNAcentral